UCUUUGAAAGGACAGAGUCUUGCCUGUCUCCUACGGAGCAUCCGGAUUUUCCCUAAAAUGAGGAAAUUAACAAGUUGAUUUAAAAAAAUGAUUAAUUGCGGAGAAGCUUUUCUUCUACGAAGCAAAAGAAAGGUAAGUUGGCGAUUUUUUAAGGAAGUACGACGAGCUUGAGGCUCUUUACAGCAGUACGAAAGCUAUAUUAUACGAAAUGGAGGACGAAAAUGCUCUUCUGAAAACGCGUUUCACUUCGCUGGUGUAAAUUUGUUAGCCCCCUCAACUCUUCAAUUUUUAAAAUUUUGCUCAGUCCGUUGAAGUUAGAGAAGUCAUGUGUUCUUAUCAAGAGGCACGUCAGCACAACGACCUUUUGCUGAAAAACGUUAAGCGAUUGGCAGACAGACAACAUCGGGCGCUUCUGCACGAGCUCAAAGGCCGGUUCGGCAUGUCCACUUGCAAAUCGUACUUGCCUACAAAGUUAUACUCUGCUUGUCAAAAUCGUACGCCUAAAAGUGGCAACUUGGUUAGGGCGUGACUGUUACAUUGACCAUACCCACAUAGUUGCUUCUACUAGUAAAGAAAUUUAAGAGGGCGUUGGCGCAUUAUAUCCUAUUUCCUCUUGCAGA
Zophobas morio is the source of this 620-nucleotide long non-coding RNA. RefSeq lists it as uncharacterized. Lineage: Eukaryota; Metazoa; Arthropoda; Insecta; Coleoptera; Tenebrionidae. The record is from RefSeq and is a predicted model, not a curated record. The transcript has 3 exons.